CUACGGGGUGCACCAGUGGGGAAUAUUGCACAAUGGAGGAAACUCUGAUGCAGCAACGCCGCGUGGAGGAUGACACUUUUCGGAGCAUAAACUCCUUUUAUAUAGGAAGAAGAUGACGGUACUAUAUGAAUAAGCGCCGGCUAACUCCGUGCCAGCAGCCGCGGUAAUACGGAGGGCGCAAGCGUUACUCGGAAUCACUGGGCGUAAAGAGCGUGUAGGCGGAUUAAAAAGUCAGAAGUGAAAUCCUAUAGCUUAACUAUAGAACUGCUUCUGAAACUCUUAAUCUAGAAUAUGGGAGAGGUAGACGGAAUUUCUGGUGUAGGGGUAAAAUCCGUAGAGAUCAGAAGGAAUACCGAUUGCGAAGGCGAUCUACUAGAACAUUAUUGACGCUGAGACGCGAAAGCGUGGGGAGCAAACAGGAUUAGAUACCCGGGUAGUC
Molecule: ribosomal RNA, 439 nt
Filed under: uncultured bacterium
Lineage: Bacteria
Description: partial 16S ribosomal RNA
Rfam family: Bacterial small subunit ribosomal RNA
Source: RNAcentral